UGGGGAAUCUUGCGCAAUGGGCGAAAGCCUGACGCAGCAACGCCGCGUGGGGGAUGAAGGCUCUCGGGUUGUAAACCCCUUUCAGGAGGGACGAAAAUGACGGUACCUCCAGAAGAAGCCCCGGCCAACUACGUGCCAGCAGCCGCGGUAACACGUAGGGGGCGAGCGUUGUCCGGAUUUAUUGGGCGUAAAGAGCUCGUAGGCGGUUUGGCAAGUCGGGUGUGAAAUUUCGAGGCUCAACCUCGAAACGCCACUCGAUACUGCCAUGACUGGAGUCCGGUAGAGGAGUGCGGAAUUCCUGGUGUAGCGGUGAAAUGCGCAGAUAUCAGGAGGAACACCAACGGCGAAGGCAGCACUCUGGGCCGGUACUGACGCUGAGGAGCGAAAGCGUGGGGAGCAAACAGG
RNAcentral lists this ribosomal RNA (405 nucleotides) under uncultured bacterium. RNAcentral describes it as "bacterial SSU rRNA". It matches the Rfam family "Bacterial small subunit ribosomal RNA", at positions 355 to 776 of the family's 1533-position model. RNAcentral also lists the same sequence under 1 other name. The record is from RNAcentral.